RNAcentral lists this ribosomal RNA (251 nucleotides) under uncultured bacterium. RNAcentral's name for it is "partial 16S ribosomal RNA". It matches the Rfam family "Bacterial small subunit ribosomal RNA", at positions 524 to 776 of the family's 1533-position model. The record is from RNAcentral.
UACGUAGGGGGCAAGCGUUGUCCGGAAUUAUUGGGCGUAAAGCGCGCGCAGGCGGUUCUUUAAGUCUGGUGUCUAAGUGCGGGGCUCAACCCCGUGUCGCACUGGAAACUGGGGAACUUGAGUGCAGAAGAGGAGAGCGGAAUUCCACGUGUAGCGGUGAAAUGCGUAGAGAUGUGGAGGAACACCAGUGGCGAAGGCGGCUCUCUGGACUGUACUGACGCUGAGACGCGAAAGCGUGGGGAGCGAACAGG